UGGGGAAUAUUGCACAAUGGGGGGAAACCCUGAUGCAGCGACGCCGCGUGAGCGAUGAAGUAUUUCGGUAUGUAAAGCUCUAUCAGCAGGGAAGAAAAUGACGGUACCUGACUAAGAAGCCCCGGCUAACUACGUGCC
This 138-nucleotide ribosomal RNA is filed under the name uncultured bacterium. RNAcentral's name for it is "partial 16S ribosomal RNA". It matches the Rfam family "Bacterial small subunit ribosomal RNA", at positions 355 to 509 of the family's 1533-position model. The record is from RNAcentral.